AAAUUGAAGAGUUUGAUCAUGGCUCAGAUUGAACGCUGGCGGCAGGCCUAACACAUGCAAGUCGAACGGUAACAGGAAGCAGCUUGCUGCUUCGCUGACGAGUGGCGGACGGGUGAGUAAUGUCUGGGAAACUGCCUGAUGGAGGGGGAUAACUACUGGAAACGGUAGCUAAUACCGCAUAAUGUCGCAAGACCAAAGAGGGGGACCUUCGGGCCUCUUGCCAUCGGAUGUGCCCAGAUGGGAUUAGCUUGUUGGUGGGGUAACGGCUCACCAAGGCGACGAUCCCUAGCUGGUCUGAGAGGAUGACCAGCCACACUGGAACUGAGACACGGUCCAGAC
RNAcentral lists this ribosomal RNA (339 nucleotides) under Shigella sonnei. RNAcentral describes it as "bacterial SSU rRNA". It matches the Rfam family "Bacterial small subunit ribosomal RNA", at positions 1 to 336 of the family's 1533-position model. Lineage: Bacteria; Pseudomonadati; Pseudomonadota; Gammaproteobacteria; Enterobacterales; Enterobacteriaceae. The record is from RNAcentral.